Molecule: long non-coding RNA, 1117 nt
Organism: Zonotrichia leucophrys gambelii
Lineage: Eukaryota; Metazoa; Chordata; Aves; Passeriformes; Passerellidae
Exons: 3
Source: RefSeq, a predicted model, not a curated record
AGGGAUGGCACUGCUGGGAAGAGCUGUGUGUGAGAGAACCAGCUAGAAGGAUCCAGUUGUCAAAAUUUCCACGGGAAUGAAUGGAACCACUCAGGAACACUUUUCAGAAAGGCAGAAAUACUUCCAGCCUUGGGCAGGAGGAAAUCAGAGCAGGGAAUGCUCAACUGCCUAAAGCCAUUUACCUAAAAGAAGAGUACAACCUGGACCAGUCCCAAAGGACAUUCAGCUCCUUAGUGGAUCAGCAUGAUCAGUGCAGAUCAAGCACUCCUGGAUAUUUUUAAAUUCAUGAUCAGCCUAUUACUUUAUGAGACAGAAAGCCUACCUUUUCAACCCUACUGUAAAUCAGUUUCUAUUCUCUCUUCUCUUCUCUUCUCUUCUCUUCUCUUCUCUUCUCUUCUCUUCUCUUCUCUUCUCUUCUCGGACGAGUUGUGUGUACACUGAGAACAAAAUUAUCUGAAGAGGAAUUCUCCUUCCAUAUCUUCCUUUGAAUUUGUUGGAUGCCACUCUGAAAGAGUCAAGAGUUCAAGAUUUAAUGUUCUAAUAAAAGUAUGCAUCCUGAAGUGAGACCUCUGAAAUGAUACUGCAUCAUCAGUAAAGUGAAUCCACCAGACAUCCUAUACAUUACAGUGAACAAUUUCAAAUCUCAUCUUCCUACAGCACUCAAAGUGAAAUGAAGCUGAAUAGAACAAAUCCUGAUUUUUCACAUUUGCUGUUAUUAAAGAAUGGAACAAAGUAGUGCCGAGGGGAAUAAGAGAAUAAAGCUAUGGCUAUUCAGUUGUGAAGAAAGUAAAUUAAUAAUACUAACCUCAUUUCUUUUGUACAUGAUUUCAAUUGAUGCCCUGGAGAACAAUUCCUUUGUAGAAAAAAAAAGGUGGGGAAUGGACAAUGGAAGCUAUUGCUGUAUCUUGCCUCAGUGCUAUUGACAAAUCGUAUGUCAGCAUCAGAUUAUAGGAUGUCAUAUUUUUUAUUUGAGCUACACUUUCAUGUAUCUUCAGCUAAGUCCUCCUGAUAUUUAUUUUCCUCAUAGUUUUUUCAUAAUAUUUGAUGGAAACUUUUGCAGUUUGUACUGUGAAACAAGACUUAAACCCUGGAAGUGAGGCAAUGUUCGUGAUGUAAC